UUGAGAGAAAUUUCGCUAGAAAUAGUGGAGUGUCUGGCUUGCCAGACCUUGAAAACAGGUGCUGCACGGCUGUCGUCAGCUCGUGUCGUGAGAUGUUGGGUUAAGUCCCGCAACGAGCGCAACCCCUUUUCUUAGUUGCUAACAGGUUAUGCUGAGAACUCUAAGGAUACUGCCUCCGUAAGGAGGAGGAAGGUGGGGACGACGUCAAGUCAUCAUGGCCCUUACGCCUAGGGCUACACACGUGCUACAAUGGGGUGCACAAAGAGAAGCAAUACUGCGAAGUGGAGCCAAUCUUCAAAACACCUCUCAGUUCGGAUUGUAGGCUGCAACUCGCCUGCAUGAAGCUGGAAUCGCUAGUAAUCGCAAAUCAGCCAUGUUGCGGUGAAUACGUUCCCGGGUCUUGUACUCACCGCCCUCACACCAUGACG
RNAcentral lists this ribosomal RNA (428 nucleotides) under Helicobacter pylori. RNAcentral describes it as "bacterial SSU rRNA". It matches the Rfam family "Bacterial small subunit ribosomal RNA", at positions 988 to 1409 of the family's 1533-position model. The record is from RNAcentral. Lineage: Bacteria; Pseudomonadati; Campylobacterota; Epsilonproteobacteria; Campylobacterales; Helicobacteraceae.